CACCAGUCACUGGCAUUUCCUUGUCUCGGAAUCGUUUCUGAGACAGAAACAGCAGGACACAGCCAUGACACGUUCUAGGGCUAUGUCUGGAAAAUUCAAAGGAUAGAAAUGCGUUUUCGACGGCUGUAGAUGGCUUCUAGCUUACAAUCAGCAUUUGUUAAUCUCCCGGCAAAACCCAUCGUGAAGCUAUCCAAAGCCAUCGUUAAUCCCAUCUUCUCUCGUGCUUGAGCUUGCUGGAUGAAUCAACUGCUUCACUGGAAUUGGAGAGUGGUCUGAGUCUCGUCGGUGAUGUUUAGAGUGGG
This 302-nucleotide unclassified non-coding RNA is filed under the name Hevea brasiliensis (rubber tree). The record is from RNAcentral. Lineage: Eukaryota; Viridiplantae; Streptophyta; Magnoliopsida; Malpighiales; Euphorbiaceae.